This 247-nucleotide long non-coding RNA is filed under the name Lathyrus oleraceus (garden pea). Its description in RNAcentral is "Pisum sativum (pea) long non-coding RNA (PSAT_LNC008692)". The record is from RNAcentral. Lineage: Eukaryota; Viridiplantae; Streptophyta; Magnoliopsida; Fabales; Fabaceae.
CAUGUAACAAAAAUGAAAUCAAAAAUGAAAAAGAAAUGAGAAAUAAUGAAAUAAUAAUUGGAUAAUGGCAAACUUGUAAUUAAGCUUCAGUAAUGCCAAAACGCGGCGUUUCAAUAAUUGAAGUGGCAACGCGUGAUUCGCUAAUGGCCGCGGGAAACACAAUUCGAAAUUGCAAACCAAGAAAAACGGAUCAAAGCACGCUCAUACUCAUGUUCUUCAUCAAAACAAGUUCAGAAUUUCCAGAUUU